RNAcentral lists this transfer RNA (73 nucleotides) under Methanobacteriota archaeon. RNAcentral describes it as "Euryarchaeota archaeon tRNA-Gln". It matches the Rfam family "tRNA". Rfam says of the family: Transfer RNA (tRNA) molecules are approximately 80 nucleotides in length. Their secondary structure includes four short double-helical elements and three loops (D, anti-codon, and T loops). Further hydrogen bonds mediate the characteristic L-shaped molecular structure. tRNAs have two regions of fundamental functional importance: the anti-codon, which is responsible for specific mRNA codon recognition, and the 3' end, to which the tRNAs corresponding amino acid is attached (by aminoacyl-tRNA synthetases). tRNAs cope with the degeneracy of the genetic code in two manners: having more than one tRNA (with a specific anti-codon) for a particular amino acid; and 'wobble' base-pairing, i.e. permitting non-standard base-pairing at the 3rd anti-codon position. RNAcentral also lists the same sequence under 1 other name. Lineage: Archaea; Methanobacteriati; Methanobacteriota. The record is from RNAcentral.
AGCCCCUUAGUGUAGCGGUCCAUCAUACAAGGUUCUGGUCCUUGUGACCUCGGUUCAAAUCCGAGAGGGGCUA